This 952-nucleotide long non-coding RNA is filed under the name Nicotiana tabacum (common tobacco). RNAcentral's name for it is "long non-coding RNA (NTAB_LNC012570)". The record is from RNAcentral. Lineage: Eukaryota; Viridiplantae; Streptophyta; Magnoliopsida; Solanales; Solanaceae.
UCGCUGAGGUCUUCUCACGCAUUGACCAUAAGUUUGAUCUGAUGUAUGCCAAGCGUGCUUUUGUCCAUUGGUAUGUUGGUGAGGGCAUGGAGGAAGGUGAAUUCAGUGAAGCACGUGAGGAUCUUGCUGCCUUGGAGAAGGAUUAUGAAGAGGUUGGUGCUGAAGGUGAUGAUGAAGGGGAGGGAGAAGAUGAUGAUGAGUACUGAGCUGUGUUGUAAUAUGUAGAAUGCUUUUCUGCUUUUAUGUUACCAGUUACUGCCUUUAUGAUGCACUAGUAAGACCUUAUAUUUCUUGAGAUUGUUAAAUUCUGCUGUGAUGUUAAAACAUUGGUGUUUGUUUUACUAAGUUCUUUGUUAUGUUUUGCUUUCUCUAUUAUCAUCUUUACCCAGUGAUUUAUCAUUUUUAGGAUAUGAAAAUUUGGAGGGUGUUAAAUUCUGCACGUGAGGACUGCUGAUGUAUUAAAUGGUCAGCACUUAUCCUUCAAAGCUGAAAUUUAAGAAGAAUAGAAAAUUAACUCGCAGUCGAACACGGAACCAAAGAAUAUAUAGUUCUCUUAUAAUGCUCGAACAUCUCUUCUCAAGCCUAAAUGCUCAUUCAUUCCUCCUUGCUGCGUAACCUAGCAAGCUAAAAACAUGAUCUUUACACAAAUAGCCAGCUAGAUUUAUUGUUUUUAGAAAAGUGAUUACUUGGCAGCCAAGACCAAAGACAAGGAAUCUAGUCAUGUUUACCAAAGAAUAUAUAGUUCUCUUAUAAUGCUCGAACAUCUCUUCUCAAGCCUAAAUGCUCAUUCAUUCCUCCUUGCUGCGUAACCUAGCAAGCUAAAAACAUGAUCUUUACACAAAUAGCCAGCUAGAUUUAUUGUUUUUAAAAAAGUGAUUACUUGGCAGCCAAGACCAAAGACAAGGAAUCUAGUCAUGUUUAAAAAGAAAUUGUUGCAUUACCUGCUGUGCAU